AGAACAGGGUUACAGAGCAUUACCAAAAUUUACAGAUUGAUUUUUAGACGUUUCAUUUCAUCUAGCAUUCAUAUUUGAAACCAAUCAAAAUUAAAACAUUAAUGAGCCAACGUUGGCUAAAAUUAACUUAUACAUGCCAUUAUAACUAGAAUCAAAUCAUCCGAAAUUACCGGUAGAACCAAUGGAUAGUGUGAUAUAUCUCUGACAAGCUUCCAACCCAAUCGAACUUUUGAUAAUCUGUAGGGUAAAUAAAAAAAUACGUAAGCAACGAAUGCUUAGUAAGCUCAGUGUAGUCUUUAAUCAUAUUAGUUCUUUUAAAAUAUUAAAUCUAUACAUAUCAAGGAUAACCCAAUAUUAGUUCUUUUAAAAUAUUAAAUCUAUUCAUCAACUUACAAGGUGAAUAAAUCCACAGUAUCACUUAAACAUAUUAUCCCAAGCUUAGUAGGAUUUUAUAUAACUUUAACUCUUGAUAAUUUCUUUAUUUUCAUUUGCAUUUCUUCACUUUCCACGCUUGUUCCAUAUGCAUGUCACACAAGUCCUAAACAUAUCAUUCAACCAUGGUCACAAACUAGUGCAUUUACCCAGAUCCUUUCCUGAACUGAUUACAUGAUAAGUCAUUUCAUAAGAAAUUGCAUAAUUUAAACCAUACCACUUUUUCAUGAACACUAGCAUAUUUUCCUUCAAAUACUUAUCAAUUCAAUGCUUCCAUUAAAAAAAUCAAAUUACUAUUCAACCAAUAGCUUGGCACUUGCCUAAGCAUCAAGCAACAAUACUGAUUAGUGUACUUGCACACAUUACAUAUAAACUCAUCAUGCAUAAUUUUCUUGUUUCAACAUAUUAAAGAUAAUCAUACAUUUACAUGUCAUGAUACAUAUCAUUCUCUUAUCGUUUCUUAAUAGGUAUAUAUCAUUCAUUUCAUUAUUUCAAUAUUUCAUGUACCAUCAUUUUUAUGAAUUUCGCGUACAUACCGGUAAUAGUUCUCAUGUUAUCUCACUUCAAAACUUUACCCGUUAUAUCAUUUAAAUAUCAAUGGUUACAUUUAUUUUAGAUCAAUACCAAUAAUAAUCUAUAAAUCUUUCAAUUCAACCACAAAAGUCUUUUACCGUUUCUUUCUGUAUCGAAGAACGACUUACGGAUAUGAGUACAUCGUUUUCAGAAGCCCGAAGGCUGAACUUAAGCUCAUGAGAGCUAAACAGAUAGUAAACACAAAGUCUGCAACAAAUGCUGAACAUCGGUUUACUUGGGUAAUUUACUGUCAAUUCCUCCUUUACAUUUGUAAUGCCAUAGCCCAGUUAUGGUCUUAUCUGUCAAUUCAUCCUUUGGCACAGAACGAUUGUACUCAAUCCCGCGUUCAAUCCAAACUGGGUAUUAAAUUCGAUAAUAUAUUUCCAAUAAUAAUUCAAUUCCAUAUUUUCUAUUACCCUUAUUAUUUUCCAUAUUUAUCCCGUUGAACUACUUGGAAUUUCGAUGGAUUUUCAGGGGUACACCUAAGUGUACAAAUCCGAGUCCGUCAAUUCAUAUUCAUGUGUACACAUUUCCAUUUCAGAGAGCACACUCCCGCGAACCUCAUCCUUAUAGCGGGAUUACCAGUCCAGGCUAAAUCCCCUGUAAUAUAAACUCAUAGAGUAUUGUCGGGAUUACUAGUCUAGGCUAAAUCCCCUGCAAUGACAAUUACUCUAUGAGCUUGGAUCUGAAUUACCAAUCCAGGCUCAAUUCAGACCCUAAUUCGGAUUACCCGUCUAGGCUAAAUCCAUUUUCCACAUAUUCUUCGGGAGGGCUAUAUCAGGAUAGGAUCACCCAUCCGGGCUAGAUCCUUUUUACCAUCAAUUCCUUUUCAGAGAUCAUCGAAUUUUUCUUUCAUUCAACCGGGAUUUUCUUCCCCUUUUUAUAAACUAUAUCAUGUUUCAUCAAUUUUCAUAUAAUGAACAUUCAAAUCAUAUUCACAUCAAUAACCAUACAUUUCAAGCAUUUAAGAAUAUAAUUCAAGUUAGACAAACUUACAAGGCUAAAUUACAGAAUAACCAAAAUUCAGGGACAUUUUAAUACUUUUCCAUUUUCCUCGAAUUUCCACCCAUCUUGAUCUAAAUUAAUAUUUCAUUAAAUUUAUUAAUUUAAAUAAUAAAAACAAUUCAUUUCAUGCAAUUGGUCAUUUUUGACAUUUUUACAAAAUUACCCUUAAAAUUUCACUUUAUUCAUUUUAGUCCCCGAAUCUAAAACAUGUAAAUUAGCUACUUUAAAUAACUCAUAUUAUCUGAAUAUUCACAUAUAUUCUUUCAUCCUCCUCCACUCUAUUCCACAUCCUUGAUAUAUACAUAAUACCACUAUUUACUUGUUUACUCAUAACAAGCUGUUCACUUGAGUUAUAGUCACUAAUUAAUUAUAUCUUAAGCUACAGAACUUCAAUUGAGAUCCGAAAAUUUCCAUGAAACAAGACUCACAUAUAAUUUUUACCAUAAAAUUUUUCAUAAUUUUUGGUUUAGCCAAUAAGUACAGUUUAUUCUUUAAAGUUUUCCCUGUUUUUACUCUUUAACAGUUCUUACCCCUUUUCACUAAAAAUUAAUUAUCUCUUUGUACAGAAUCUCAGAUGAUGUUCUCGUUUGUUUCUAUUGAAAAUAUACUCAUUCAGAAUUUUAAACAUAUGAAUUUAAUCCUCUAAUUAUUUUUAUUUAUUUUUUUAUGAUUUUCCAAAGACAGGAACAGGGAAACCCAAAUUCAUUCUGACCUUAUCUCACAAAAUUUAUUAUAUCUCAUGAUUUACAAUUACAUUACUUACAACAUUUCUUCUAUGAGAAACUAGACUUAAUAAUAUUUAAUUUCAUAUUUUUUUCAUUCUCUAAUUCGAUUUUCAUAAUUUAUGGUGAUUUUUCAAAGUUAUCCUACUGUUGCUGUCCAAAACUGUUUUAGUGCAAGAUGUUUACUACCAUGUUUAUAACACCCUUACUUUCUUUCUCUACACUAUUUCUCAUCACUUUCUCUUAUUUUCUCUUCACUAACAUAUCAAGAACACAAGACCUUAUAUAAGAAAAACUCUACUAUAACAUUAAUUUCCUACUUUUUCAAUAAUAUCCCACUCAAAAAUAUAUUGAAAUCUUGAUGUUCUUACCUUGUGCUAUUGAUUUCAAUCUUUAACUUGAUUUUCUCUCUCCUCCAGCUUCUAUUUCUUGAAUCUAAUUUGAUAUUCUAGCUCCCCAUUGUCUCCUUAUUAUUUUUCUCUUUGGAAGCUAUGGAAAUUCUUUGAUUUCUAAGUGAAAAUAGUGAAUUUUUGGUAAAAGGACCAAAUUGUAAAGAAAAGAAAGUUUCUUUCUUUCUUUUCUCCCACAUGUUGGAAUGCAUGAGAGGUUGAUGAUGAUUUUCAUCUUCCUUUUCUUAUAUAUAUACUAAAUAAAAUAAUAAUAAAAUAAUAAAAUAUCAUUUAAAAAUCAAAUUAAAAUAUUAAUAAACUAAUAUUUAUUUAUUUAAUUAAUCUAAAAUAUCUCCAGCAUCAUCAUUAUCUUCUAGUUUUCUCUCUAUUCUAAUUGAACAUUUUGCCCUUUAUGAUCUUUUAAAAUUUCAUCCUUAAGUCAUCACUUAAUUUGGUAAAAUUGUAAUUUAGUCCCUCAAAUUCUUCACCUUUUUCAAGUUGGUCCUAAUCCAUCCAUUUCCUUAGUUUCUAGAUCAUUCCACCCUUAAAAUAUUUACACCAUUGGUCCUUUAAAUUUUUAUAUUUACACUUUAACCCCUCAAAUUUUGAGUAUUUACUCUUGGGCAACAAAACGUUUCUCACUUUUACGAUUUAAUCCUUUCUUGAACUAAUAUGUCAUAAUAAUACUUCCCAAUGUUGACAUAACUCCAAAUUUUCCCUUUUUGUCGCUUUAUUUCCUUAUUUUAUUAUAUCAAAGAUAAUAUAUUACUGUAAAAAAAUUUUUGGGGUAUUACACCAAGCGUGAUCUUUGUUCUUAAUGAGAUGAGGAAAAUGUCGGUGUUGGAAGGCAAAGCCACCACAGGUGAAGGUCUUGAGUGGGGCGUGUUGUUCGAGUUUGGGCCAGGUCUCACGGUGGAGACAUUGGUGCUUCGUAGCUUUGCUACAAAUUCAACACCAUAGUCCAUAGCUAUUGAUGGUGUGUGAAACUUUUUUUGUUCAACAAAAUUGACGGUGUGUGAAACAAUAUGUGAAUGUGAACAAGAAGAUUGAUACAUGUUUCUUUAAGAAAAAACUUAAAAACAUAAGUCUAGAACAACGAACCGUGAAACCUUUAAAAUAAUAAUCUUUAUAUAUUAUUGUUUAAGGUUUCAAUAUAUUUUGUUAGUGGAUUCAGAAAAAAAUUCCUUCACCCCUUAUGUAAAUAUCUAUUUUCAAUAAUAAUAAUAAAAGCCUAUAGCUCAUACAUCAAUGAACUAGAGCUUAAAAAUGUGAAGCUAAAAGAUAAAAUUAGAAUAACACAAUAUACAAUCAGAAGUAACCAUUCAUCAAUUACACAAAAACAAAUAGGAAUCAUAUUUUCCAUCACAUCUAAAAUCAUUUCAAUCCUUUCUUGAUUCAAAUACGCAUGCUCACUCACCUCUUUCUAGUCGAUUAACUCAAUCAGAUGUUCGAAAUAUUUUGAUUUGUAGUGAUAACAUAACUAUUCAAAUGAAUGGUCACAUUUAUUAAUAAUAAACAUAAUUAUUCAAUAGACCUCUACUUGAAUAUUUAUGAAUUUUUAGUAAUAAUCAACAAAACACUUUUAGUAACAAGAGACAUAACUCAUCUCUAUAAAUAGUGAUAAUUUUGGUUGUGAACUCUUAACUAAUAAGCAAGUGACAUAAUUUUUAAAUAUUUUUAAUUUUCCAAUUAUCACUAUUAGAAUAUUAUACAUAUUUUGAAAAUGUUUCAACUUAUAAUAGCUUUCACUAAAAUUAAAUAGGUGGUACUUGCAAUAAACUAAUGCCAAAGUAAGUAAUAACAUGAUCGCAGGCUACAGCAAGAAUUGAGAGCCACCAUAUUCUAUAAAAAUCUGAAGCUUGUGAAAGUACGAUCAAUAAUUACCAACAUAAUCGUGUAUGAAUUGUUGGACAAUUGACAUGGGUUUUUUAUAAGGUAAAUAGUAUCAUAUUUAUAGAUAUAUUAUUUUUAUUAAAAUUAAUACGUAUUAGUUUGUUUCGAUGUAUCCUUAUUUUUUAAAGAAAGGUAUUUAAUAUAUGUGUAUAAAAAUAUGCACAAUAUCAAAUAAAUAACACUAAAUAAAUUUUAAAUACAAAAUAUUCAUCAAUUAUAUAAAAUUUUCAAAAAUAAACUCUACAAAUAAAAUUCAUUAGUCAAUGGAUUAACAAGGAAAAGAACUUAAGGGUGAGUAGAGAUUUUUUUUUUUUGUAAUAAUGUGAAUAGGGGUUUUAUAUUUUAAUUGUGAAAGUAUGUCCUAAAACUAAAACCUUUAAUGUUUAAAAUGUUAAACUUUACUUUUCAUGUAAUCAUUUUGAUUCGUUAGUAAAUUCCAAUUAAGUAUUUAGAAUAAUAGUAAAUUAUUAAAAGUUUUUUUUAAUAUUAUUCAUGCAUCGGUUGGUGCACCAUGUUCCAAUCGGUGUGAUUGGAAUUGACCGAAAUCAGCCGAUGUAAUCGAUAUGAAUUGGAAUUUUCACCAGUGCAAAAAGUGGUGUUGCUUGUUCCACUUUAAAAUAGGAUGGACUCGGCAAAUUGGAGAUCUUGAAACGACAUGUUUUGGUUUGAUUUAAUUAAGUUUUUGUGAGUUAUAAUAAUCUGUUUAAUUUGGACUAGAAAUAAGUUUUAGGAACUGUGGUAUGGAUUUUGAUUUCGUUAGGACUCGUAAGAAUGCGGGAUUUUGGUUUUGAACGGAAGUUAUGAUUUAUCAUGCAUGGACUAUAGUUAAUCAAUUACUAUUCCUUUAUAAAGAACACACGAUUUCAAAAAAAUAACUUAUAGUUUCUGUUUUAAAAAUAAAUGAUGUAUUUUCUAAUGUACCUGAUUUUGAAAUUUCAGUUGACAAUUAGCAAAACUUGAAUUAUCUGCAAAAUGAAUAUUUACAAUUAUUAAAUUGGUUUUAUUUUAAUUCUAACAACGAUUAAACCCCUAAUUUGCAAAAUAUAAGUAAAGAUUUUAUUGGAUUUUGUUAAGCAUUAAAAGAAAAGGGUUUUCAAAAAGAGGUUUUUUAGAUUUGAUCAGUAUUUUAAUUUGGGACACUUUGGUGAGCAAUGUGACCUCAGGAAUUCGGUCGAAACUUCUGGGCUGAGUUUUGGGGUGUUACAAUAAAUUUUAAAUAUAAAGAAUUCAUUAGUUAUAUAAAAUGCUCAUCAAUAAACUCCACAAAUAAAAUUUAUUAUUUAAUGAAUUAACAAGAAAGAACUAAAGGGUGAGUAGGGCCUUUUUUUUUGAUAAUCAUGUGAAUAGUUAAAAGUUUUAUUUUUAACCUAAUAUUUUAUGUAUUAUAAAGUUAAAUGAUAAUAGCACACAAAUUAAUGUUUAAUGAUAAAAAGAGGAGCCAUUUUUAUGUAUUAUAAAGUUAUAAAUUAAUAUAUGAUUAUAUUCAAACCCUAAAUGAAUGAAGGCACAUGUGAUUAAUAAAAUCAUAUUGAAUAGCCAAAAAUACACUUAUCCUUAGAUAAGAUAAUUUGCCAAACACUAGUGAAAUAGGAUUUAAUCUUCUUGGAGCUUUAGGAUUUGGCAAGUUAGGUUGGUCAAAUGCUAAAAGUUCAUUAACAUUAUUGCCUAACUCACUUAUUUUUGCAAUUGAAGUUCUCAAAAUAAUUUCUAUAUAAGCUCAAUUUUGAAAGUUUUUGCUAAAAAGCAACAAACCAAAAAUAUUUAGAUAUGGAAACAGAAAAUAACUUGGAGGGUUGUGGAGUUGAGAAAUUAGCUACUAUUCUAGCUAUUGGCACAACAAAUCCACCCAACUGCUUUUACCAAGCUGAUUAUCCAGAUUUCUACUUUCGAGUGACUAAAAGUGAACACAUGACGCAAUUAAAAGACAAAUUUCGACGAAUAUGUAAGUACCAUAGUUUUGUAAAAGCUAGGAAUGGACUGUUAUUUUAUAUGUAAUCUUCCACCAAAUUACUUUUCCAUUUCCUCACUAAUAUAGAUGUAAUUUAUAUAUGUUACCAGGUGAGAAAUCUACAAUAAAGAAACGUUACAUGCAGUUAAGUGAGGCCAUGCUGAAAGAGAAUCCCUGUUUAACUAUCUACAAGGCUCCAUCCUUUGACGUUCGUCAAGAUUUUCUUGUAAAGGAAGUACCAAAGCUUGGUAUGGAAGCAGCAUUGAAAGCCAUCAAAGAAUGGGGACAACCCAUUUCAAAGAUCACUCACCUUAUAUUUUGCACAUCAUCAGGGAUAGACAUGCCUAGUGCUGACCAUAAGCUUGCUAAUCUUAUUGGCCUCAAACCCUCUGUUCAAAGAUUCAUGAUUUAUAAUCAAGGUUGCUUUGCUGGAGCCACUGCCCUGCGCCUUGCCAAGGAUUUGGCCGAGAACAAUGCCAGUGCUCGUGUACUUAUUGUUUGCUCCGAGAACAUGGUCAUGAGUUUCCAACCACCUUCGGAGACCCAUUUAGACAUACUCAUUGGCUCCGCAAUAUUUUCCGAUGGGGCAGCGGCUUUGAUUGUUGGUGCUAAUCCUAUUGUCAGCAUCAACGAGUGCCCUUUAUUUCAAAUUGUAUCAGCAAGUCAAAGCAUUAUCCCUAAAUCUGAUGAUUUACUAAUAGGGAAAAUACGUGAAAUGGGGAUGGAGUAUUAUCUAUCGAGAAAUUUGCCUCAAUACGUGUCUAACAACAUCAAGCAAUGCAUGGUUGAAGCGUUUACUCCAUUUGGAAUCAGGGAAUGGGAAAAUUUGUUUUAUAUAGUUCAUCCUGGUGGAGUAGCUAUUCUUAAUGGAAUUGAAGAAAAACUUGGGUUGAAUAAGGAGAAGCUUAGAGCAAGUAGGCAUGUGCUAAGUGAAUAUGGAAACAUGAGGGGUCCAAGCGUGAUCUUUGUUCUUGAUGAGAUGAGGAAAAUGUCGGUGUUGGAAGGCAAAGCCACCACAGGUGAAGGUCUUGAGUGGGGCGUGUUGUUCGGGUUUGGGCCAGGUCUCACAGUGGAGACAUUGGUGCUUCGUAGCUUUGUUACAAAUUCAGCACCAUAAUCCAUAGUUAUUGCCGGUGUGUGAAACAAUAUGCGAAUGUGAACGAGAAGAUUGAUACAUGUUUCUUUAAAAAAAAACAACUUAAAAAUAUAAGUCUACAAUAAUGAACCAUGGAACCCUUAAAAUUUUCAUGUAUGAUAUAAUAAUCUUUAUAUAUUUUUAUUUUAGGUUUCAGUCUCUUUUCUUAGUGGAUUCAGAACAAAAUUCCUUUUGUAACACUUAAAUGUAACACCCCAAACUCUGCCUAGACGUUAAGACCAAGUCUGAAUGGUACAUCAAAACGUUUGAGGAAAACCAACCUCUAAGUAUCUUAAAAUUCAUCUUACAGAAAACACUUAACUACUUAAACCAACAUCACAUCCAAGUUUACAAACCAUAGUCCGAAAACAUACGUUAUUUAAAGUUUAAACAAACAAUAAAAUAUCUAGUAAGAGAUAUAACCGAGCUCCUAGCACACCGAAAAGAUUUAUUUUCUGUUGUACCUGAUUUUGAAAUUUCAGUUGACGAUUAGCAAAACUUGAAUUAUCUGCAAACUGAAUAUUUACAAUUAUUAAAUUGGUUUUAUUUUAAUUCUAACAAUGAUUAAACCCCUAAUUUGCAAAACAUAAGUAAAGAUUUUAUUGGGUUUUGUUAAGCAUUAAAAGAAAAGGGUUUUCAAAAAGAGAUUUUUUAGAUUUGAUCAGUAUUUUAAUUUGGGACACUUUGGUGAGCAACGUGACCUCUAGAAUUCGGUCGAAACUUCUGGGAUGAGUUUUGGGGUGUUACAAUAAAUUUUAAAUAUAAAGUAUUCAUCAGUUAUAUAAAAUGCUCAUCAAUAAACUCCACAAAUAAAAUUUAUUAUUUAAUGAAUUAACAAGAAAGAACUAAAGGGUGAGCAGGGCUUUUUUUUUUUUUUGAUAAUCAUGUGAAUAGUUAAAAGUUUUAUUUUUUUUAAUAUUAUGCAUGCGCUGUUCGGUGCAUUAUGUUCCAAUCGGUAUGAUUCGAUUUGAUCGAAACGAGUCGAUGUAAUUUAUAUGAAUCGAAAUUUUCACCAGUGCAGAAAAUGGUGUUGCUUGUUCCUCUUUAAAAUUGGAUCAAUGUACUUUAACUAUGACUGGAACUUAUGCAGUAUUGACCACCAUGUUCUUUCUACCACUCUCAUGGACUUUUUCAUUGUCCUUUCUAAUUCAAAACAAGAAAAGCUCGUACUUAAACCACAAUAAUUCAAAUUUUAUAUGGAUAUUUUGUGCAUGAAAAUCGUUACUCGUAUUAUAUUUAUCGAUGUUGCGAUUGUACACUCAAUAGAUAUGCCAAAGCUCUUGUCAACCAAUACCGAAUUUUUUUUCUCAAUAAUCUUGAUAGAAAAAAAUAUUAGGUUCAAAAUUAGUAUUGUAAAGUUAAAUGAUAAUAGCACACGAAUAAAUGUUUAAUGAUAAAAAAGAGGAGCCGGUUUUAUGUAUUAUAAAGUUAUAAAUUAAUCCAUGAUUAUAUUCAAAUCCUAAAUGAAUGAAGGCACAUGUGAAAUAAAAUCAUAUUGAAUAGCCAAAAAUACACUUAUCCUUAGAUAAGAUAAUUUGCCAAACACUAGUGAAAUAGGAUUUAAUCUUCUUGGAGCUUGAGGAUUUGGUAAGUUAGGUUGCCCAAACACUAAAACUUCAUUAACAUUAUUGCCUAACUCAUUUAUUUUUGCAAUUGAAGUUCUCAAAAUAAUUUCUAUAUAAACUCAAUUUUGAAAGUUUUUGCUAAAAAACAACAAACCAAAAAUUUUUAGAUAUGGCAAGAGAAAAUAACUUGGAGGCUUGUAGAGUUGAGAAAUUAACUACUAUUCUAGCUAUUGGCACAACAAAUCCACCCAACUGCUUUUACCAAGCUGAUUAUCUAGAUUUUUACUUUCGAGUGACUAAAAGUGAACAUAUGACACAAUUGAAAGACAAAUUUCGACGAAAGUAAAUAGUUAUUAAGUCUUUAUAAUAAUAGUAAAUAGUUAAAAUUUUUAUUUUUUUACUAUUAUUCAUGCAUUGGUCAAUGCACCAUGUUCCAAUCGGUGUGAUUGGAAUUGAUUGAAACGAGUUGAUGUAAAUUAUAUGAAUUGAAAUUUUCACCAGUGCGGAAAAUAGUGUUACUUGUUCCGCUCUAAAACUAGAUCAAUGCGCAUUGACUUUUUUUUUGAACAACAAUGCGCAUUGACUUAUAUUCGGAUAAGAGCAUUAUUGAAAUAGCAAAAAAAAAAAUCCACUUAUCUUCGGAUAAGAGAAUUUGCCAAACACUUGUGAAAUAGGCUUUAAUCUUCUUGGAGCUUUAGGAUUGGACAAGUUGGGUUGGGGAAAUUAUUAACAUUAAAGCUUAAUUCACUUAUUUUUGUAAUUGAAGUCUUCAAAAUAAUUUUUAUAUAAACUGAAUUUUGAAAGCUUUUACUAAAAAGUAAGAAACUAAAAAUAUUUAGAUAUGGCAACAAAAAAUAACUUGGAGGCUUCUCAAGUUGAGAAAUUAGUCGCUACUCUAGCUAUUGGCACAACAAAUCCACCUAACUAUUUCUAUCAAGCUGACUAUUCAGAUUUUUACUUUUGAGUGAUUAAAAAGUGGACACAUGAUGCAAUUAAAAGAAAAAUUUAACGAAUAUUAAGUAUCAUAAUUUCGUAAAAGCUAAGAAUUGACUGUUAUUUUAUACCUACAUAUAUAUAAUCUUUCAUCAAGUGAAUUUUCCAUUUCUACACUAAUAUAAAUGUUCUUUAUGUAUCUUCAGGUGAGAGAUCUACAAUAAAGAAACGUUGCAUGUACUUAACUGAGGCCAUGCUAAAAGAAAAUCCCAACUUAACUAUCUACAAGGCUCCAUCUUUUGAUAUUCGUCAGGAGAUCCUUGUAACUGAAGUACCUAAGCUAGGUAUGGAAGCGGCAUUGAAAGCCAUCAAAGAAUGGGGACAGCCCAUUUCAAAGAUCACUCACCUUAUAUUUUGCACAUCUUCAGGGAUAGACAUGCCUAGUGCCGACCAUAAGCUUGCUAAGCUCAUUGGCCUCAAACCUUCCGUUCAGAGAUUCAUGAUUUAUAAUCAAGGUUGUUUUGGCGGUGCCUCUGCCCUACGUCUUGCCAAGGAUUUAGCCGAGAACAAUGCUAGUGCUUGAGUGCUUACCGUGUGCUCCGAGAUUAUUGUUGCGAGUUUUCAACCACCUUCGAACACCCAUUUAGACAUACUCAUCGGCUCUGCAAUUUUUGCCGAUGGGGCAGCAGCUUUGGUUGUUGGUUCUAAUCCUAUUGCCAGCAUCAACGAGCGUCCUUUAUUUCAAAUUGUUUCAGCGAGUCAGACCUUUAUCCCUGAGUCUGAUGAUAUGCUGAUAGGGAAAGUACGUGAAAUGGGAAUAGAGUAUUAUAUGUCAAGAGAUUUGCCUAAGUACAUUGCUAACAACAUCGUGCAAUGCAUGGCUGAAGCGUUUACUCCAUUUGGCAUCACCGAAUGGGAAAACUUGUUUUACGUAGUCCAUCCUGGUGGAGCUGCAAUUCUCAAAGGAGUUGAAGAAAAACUUGGGUUGAAUAAGGAGAAGCUUAAAGCGAGUUGGCAUGUACUAAGCGAAUAUGGAAACAUGCGAAGUCCAACCGUGUUCUUAACGAGAUGAGGAAAAUGUCAAUGUUAGAAGGCAAAGCCACAACUGGUGCUGGUCUUGAGUAGGGCGUGUUACAAAUACAGCACCAUAGUCCAUAGCUAUAACUUUAUUUCUGUUGAACAAAAUUUCUAGUGUGUGAAUCAAUAUGCAAAUGUGACGCAUACUCAAUAAAAUGAGAGGAUUGUUACAUGUUUCUCUAAAAAACAACUUUAAAAAAUAUUUAAUCUAGAAAAAUGAACCGUCAUGUAUUAUUGUUUCAAAUUUCAGUAUACUCUGUGCCUCUUAGUGUUCCCCUGACACAUGGAUUCAGUUUUGUGGUCAAUCUUUGUUUUCUCUUCUGGUCAAAGAGGGAAUUGUGUUCCCUUCUCCAAAUCCAGAAGGUUGCUAUAACAGAUCUGAAAUUUGAAGGUAAUAAUUGAGUUUUGCCAUCAACAUUAUACCCCGUUUGUUUUUCUUUCUUCAAACCGAUUGAAUGUUGCUUUAAUAAAUUUGAAAUGCCAGGAAAAUGGAUCAAAUUGAAGUUGACCAUUAUGUGGCCUUUUUUAAGGAAUUCUACCCACCAUAUUUCUUUUCGAUUAAUCAUCUCAAAAUUUGACCCAAACUUUAGGAGUUAUAAGAAUUGUUCCCAUUAAACCUUAAUAGUUUCUUCCUUUUUGUUACCUAGAAAAAUAGUAUUGUCUUUGUAGAAUCCGUUUUUAAUUAAAAAAAAUGAAAUUCUUUUUUGUAUAGAAGUAUUUCUACUUUCUUUCAUCCCUUCAAAAAUUUUUUUUUAAAGAAAGCCAGUUAGGGUUGAAUUAAAAAACAAAGAGAAGAGUGAUUUUUCUUCUAAAAUCUCCAAAAUAAGCUAUAGUUGAAGUUAUAUACUUCAAUCAUUACCUUGAAAUUUCGUACCUGUUAAAGCAACAUUCAACAGAUCAGUGGAUUUGGAGGAGGGAAGGUCUUUGACCCAAAGAGAAAACAAACGGAAUAUUAUGUUGACGGCAAAAUUCAGUUAAUUGGUAUAUAAUUAUAUUAUUUACGUGUCAAUAAAUAAGACAGAAAUUUUGUUAUUAUGAAAAAUAAAUGCAAUGAGCGCUAGGGGGCCGGAAUUAUAAUUUGGUUCUUACAUAAAUUAUAUAAUUAUAAAUUGACUCUUUUAAACAUUUUCUUCUUACACAUAUUUUAUCUUUAUUUUUUGGCUAUUGUUGAUCUUUUAGGUUUUGUUUGAGUUACAUUCUUCAAUUAUUUUUUUGUCAAUCCGUGUUAAAAUUGGUACUUGCCUUUAAUACCAUUAAAAACAUUCCCAAUCAAAUCACUCCCUUAAAAUAUAUUUAAUUUUUUUAUAUUAAUAUUAAAUAGAAUAAUUAUAUUAAAAUUAAAAUUAAAAAAAUUGCAUCCCCUCCCGCUCUCUCCAUCUUCAAAGGUUUUGGAGGGGCUCCGGUGGAUGAAUGAGUGAUUUUGGAUAAGUUAAUAUAGUGUAGGGAAAUGAGUGGUUUUUGGGUUUCGGUUGGAAUGAUGAUUCUGCUUUAUUUAGUUUGUUAUAGUUUUUUUCACAUUUUUGUAUAUAUAUAUAUGAUAUUCGUACAUGAAUUACCGUGACUUACUUAAAGGAUGUUAUGUUAUGACAGAUUUUGAAGAAUGGAUUCAAGAGUUAUGUAUUUGAGUUGCUAUUUGAGUUUUAGAAUAAUGAUUUCUGGUUCAUUUUGAAGCUGAAACUUUUUCAAGGUUGAUCGUUUUGUUGUUUUAUUUGAUUCAAUGUUACCGGUUAAUGCUUGGUAAUUGAGCUAUUGUUAUGGGUUUAAACGGAAAGACAUUUGGCUUAAAGUUGGAGAGAGAGAGAGGGUGUUAUGAUUUAAAAGGAAACACAUCUCGUUUAAAGAUGGAGAGAGAGAGGAGGACGUGGGGAGGAAUAGUUAUUUUAUGUUUAAUAUUUAUAUAAAAUUAUCUUUUAAUGGGUGGUGACAUGGUGCAAUUCUAUUGGUUAAAAAAUAGAUCAACUCAAAAAUAGUUUAGAUGUCUAAUUCAAACAAAAUGAAUAAUUUAAAGGCUUCCGGUUAAUUUAGCCUUUUUUUUUUUUAGGUUGACUUUGAUAAAAGAAAAAAUGAAGGGCUCCUUAUCCAAAUUAGGAGGGCAUCCACUUAGCUCUAGGCCUAACUCGAUCAAAAUCAAAACAACACCAGAAAUAAGUCCCGCAAGUAUAUGGAAUACCAUUUUAAUCAAUGUUUUAGGCUUCAUUUGUUUUAUUGACAUAAUGAUGAAAAAGGAUCGUGAUUCCAGGUCAUUUGUCAUAAGACAAAUUAUUUAGUUACUUUGAAUUAGUAAUUGACUUUUUUAUAUCGAAAAAUGUAAUAGAUAUUAUGAUUGGGAGAACAAAUUUUAUCCCAAAGAGAUUAAGAAUAUUUUAUGAGGGUAACACACUUAUGACAAGAUCAUUGAAUGAGUACUUAACUAGUAGCUUUCGUAAUAGCAUAUAAUAAGGUAGAGUUUAAUUAUGGUAUUACAGUGGAACGACUUAAUGAUUAAAUAAUGUUGUAAUUAAUAGGUGAAAAAGUUAAAACUUAAUUACAAAUUAUUUGAGUAUUAUUUAUAUUUGUCUGGCUAGUCUAUCUGCUAACUCAAUAUAAUCAAUAACGAAGUACAUGUUAAAAUUGAUAUUGUGCAAUGAAUGAGAACGAUAAGUAGGAAAAAUAGAUCGCAUGUAUCACAAUUUAUAGUGAAUGCAUUUUCCCGCUAAGUACAAAAAAGAUUAAAUUCAUUUAUUCAAAUUAUUAUUUAAUUAUUUAUAAUUAAAUAAGUGAAGUUCAAAGUCAAAAUUCAACUAAUUACUCAUCAUAAUUUAUUGAAUGAGACAAUUACAUAUAUUUCCUCAUAGAUUUUAAUACCAUAAAGUUGUCAUAAAUUUAACGAAAUUAGAAUUGGAUUGAAAAAUAAUUUAAUUGAGAAAUUAAUUGGCUUAAGAGUCAAAAAAGUCCUUAGUAAAAAAUGAAAAAAAUCAUUUGAGCUCUUAAGAAAAAAAAUACACCCUGUUAAAUCUUUAAUGACCAAAAAAUUAAUCAACUAGGUCAUUUUGUUAAUGGAAACCGUUAGUUGACCAGUUUAACCGUUAAAGGCACUGACAUGACUGACGACAAUCACUAAGAGAUGACACAUGGCAUGCCAUGUGAAAGAAUGUUGAUAUGACAUGACACAUCAACAAAAAAUUCAUUUUUUAAUAAAUAUUUUUUAAAAAUUUUAUUUAAAAAAUAAUUAAUAAAAAUUACAUCUAGAAUGAAUCUGGACAUAAUGUUGUCCAGAUCUAUUUGAAUCUAGAUAAUUACUUGUCUAAAUUUGUUUUAGAUGAGUUCAAAAUUUAAAAAAAAAAGAAAUUAUAAAAAAUAUUAAUAAUGAUUUAGAAAUUCUAAAAAUUAUAAAUAAAUAAAAAAGAAGAUAAUAUAUGAUUAAGGUCCUAACUUCAGCCCUAUGAUUAAGACCCGCUAUGCUAUUUUGCAACAGCAUAUUUCCCUGUGCUGUCGGUUUCCACUUUCGGUCAUUUGACUUCCUUUUUGAACCAAGUGAGUGUCUAAAUUUAUAAAAAAAAAAAUGGGAACCAGAAACUGAAAAAAAGGAGCAAUAUACUGCUUUGGAAUUGAAUGUGAUUGCAACCUGUUGUCGUUGAUGGUGGCUUUUGCUGAGUAUGUGGUUAAAGUGGGUGUUCAGAAAUGCAUAUUCCAGUUUUCAAACAAUGACUGCAAAUGGGGUUGUAUUUCAUGUUCAAGUUAAAUAGAGCAAAUCCUAUUUCAGGCAAUCCACCUUCCAGUGGUUUGGUUAUGAGGCCGGGACUGAGUUAAUUCCACAAGAAUCAAAGCAUUCCUUCACCCUGAAUUUGUUAAAGCUGUACGUGUGUGUGGAGUUUGAUUGAGUCAAGUAGUUGGUUAAAAAGAUCUGUCUUGUGCAAAUAAUCUAUUAAUAAUUUAUCAAUAUUUUACUAUUAUUUCUCCUCUAAUUUCAAUAUUCUGUUUAGUGGGAUUCCUAUUUCCUAGCUAUUAAGGUUGAAAUUUUGACUAUUUAAAGGCAUUGAUUAGCGACUAAUAAAAAGUAGAAAUCAGUUCAAUUCUCAUCUGUCUCUAUUGCUAAUCCUUUUCUUUAUAGAAUAAAAACUUAGCAGCAGCUUUUAUUUUUCAACAUUGGUAUCCAAGCUAGGUUUAAGCCUUAGAUUUUUCAGCAGCAACAGUAAGCAAAGUGAUGGCCAUCUACAACUUUGUUCAACCAUCCAUUCCCCGCUUUGAUGGACACUACGAUCAUUGGAGUCUGUUGAUGGAGAACUUCUUGAGGUCCGAGGAGUAUUGGUAGGUUGUUUCUGAGGGAAUUGAGGAACCAACAAAUGACACAGUAGUGACAAGGGCUCAGAAGAAGGAAAUAGAAGGGUUGCGCUUGAAAGAUUUAAAAGCAAAAAAUUAUCUUUUCCAAGCAAUUGACUGUUCAAUCUUGGAAACCAUCCUUUGCAAAGACACGUCCAAGCAUAUUUGGGAUUCCAUGAAGAAAAAUAUCAGGGUUCUGCGAGGGCAAAGAGGCAGCGACUUCAAGCACUUCGUUCGGAGUUUGAAACACUACGAAUGAAAUCGGGUGAGUCGAUAACCCAUUAUUUUUCAGGUACAAUGGCCAUUGUCAACAAAAUGCGAAUUCAUGAAGAUAAAAUAGAUGAUGUUGCUGUGAUUGAGAAAAUACUUUGCUCCAUGACUACAAAAUUCAAUUUUGUAGUUUGUUCCAUUGAGGAAGCUCAUGUCAUCGAGGAACUUUCAAUUGAUGAGCUACAACGUUCUUUGUUGAUACAUGAGCAGAAAAUUUGCCAGCAAGAGAAGGAGCAUCAUGCAUUGAAGGCUUUUAAAGAUAAUCAUCUCACAACCAGAGGAGGUCAUGGUAGAGGAAAAUGUAGAGGCGAAGGUAGAGUAAACAAUGAUCAUGGUUACCACCAGCACGAGUCUCAUUCCCAAAAGAGAGGAAGAGGAAGAGGAAGAGGAGGUCAUCACUCUACAUCUUUCAGAACAAAGUCAACAGACGAAUCUAAUGUUGAGUGUUUUCAGUGUCACAAGUAUGGCCAUUAUCAAUCAAAAUGUCGAGUUAAUUUGAAUAAUAAAAAUAGAGACAGAACUAACUUUGCAGAAAAUGAAGAAGUAUCUUUGCUGAUGGCUUAUCAUGUCAAAGAAGAAACGUAGAAGAAUUUAUGGUAUUUGGACACAGGCUGCAACAAUCAUAUGAGUGGCGACAAGUCUGCGUUUUCGGUGUUAGAUGAGUCUAUUCGUGACAAUGUGAAGUUUGGUGAUGAUUCAAAAGUCUCUGUAAUAGGGAAGGGAAAGGUAACAAUUCAAAUGAAACGUAAUGUUGUUUAUACUAUAUCUAAUGUCCUCUUUGUUCUAGAUUUGAAAAUAAAUUUGUUGAGCAUUGGCCAACUACAAGAAAAGGGAUAUGAGAUUUCGAUUAAAGAUGAAGUUUGUAGAAUACAAGAUGAAAAAUUAGGAUUAAUUGCCCAAGUUGAUUUGACACCUAACAGAAUGUUUUUAUUGUACCUCUACACCAUCACCAACUCAUGCUUCUCUACAAGGUUGCAAGAUGAAAGUUGGCUUUGGCACUUUCGGUAUGGGUAUUUAAAUUUUGGAGGUUUAAAAAUAUUACAGCAAAAGAAUAUGGUGACAGGCCUCCCACACAUCCAAACUCCUUCUCAAGUAUGUAAAGAAUGUGUCAUUAGUAAACAACAUCGAGAACCAUUUCAAAAAGGAAAAUCAUGGAGAGCGAGGAAGGCAUUGGAGCUUGUGCAUUCAGACUUAUGUGGACCGAUCGCUCCUACGUCAAAUGGAGGUAAACGAUAUUUUAUAUCGUUCAUUGAUGAUUUUAGUAGAAAAACUUGGGUUUAUUAUUUGCAUGAAAAAUCUAAAGCUCUCACAGCCUUUAAGAGUUUCAAAGCUCUAGUUGAAAAAGAAGCAGGGACUCCAAUCAAGGUGUUGCGUAGUGAUCGUGGUGGAGAAUACAAUUCAGAAAAAUUUGUUAUUUUUUGUGAUAAGAAAGGAAAUAAGAAGCUACUAACAGCAACAUACACACCUUAACAAAAUGGCAUCUGCAAAAGAAAGAAUCGCACAAUUUUGAACAUAGUACGAAGUCUUUUAACAAGGAGCGGAGUUCCAAAAGUUUUUUGGCCUGAAGUCGUUGAACUAGCAAAUGUGCAUCCUUAACGUAACAGGAAGGGACCUGCAUGGAUGGAGAAUUUUGUGGUAGAGGGAAUUAAUGAAGAGGAAGUUACACAUUUUGCUCUAUUUUCAGAUUGUGAUCCAGUAGCAUUUGAAGAAGCCGUAAAAGAGUCCAAAUGGAAAAAAGCAAUGAAUGAAGAAAUGGUAGCCAUUGAACGUAACAACACUUGAGAGUUGACUGAUCUUUCCAAAGGGCACAAAACAAUUGGUGUGAAGUGGGUUUACAAGACAAAACUGAAGGAAAAUGGCGAGGUUGACAAAUUCAAGGCACGCUUAGUAGCUAAAGGCUAUAAGCAUGAAUUUGGUGUUAAUUACAAAGAGGUGUUUGCCCCUGUUGCUGUCAUGAUACAAUCAGGCUAGUGAUUACUCUUGCGGCUCAAAAUUCGUGGCCUAUUUUCCAAUUAGAUGUGAAAUCGGUGUUUUUACAUGGUGAUUUGAAAGAACAAGUGUUUGUUGAGCAACCUCCUGGAUAUGUAAAGCAUGGAAAUGAGCACAAGGUGUAUAGGUUAAAGAAGGCUUUUUACGGGUUGAAGUAAGCCCCAAGGGCUUGGUAUAGUCGUAUCGAAGCUUACUUUCUAAAAGAAAGCUUUCUAAGUUAUUCAUAUGAGCAUAAACUUUUUACCAAGGUUGGUGAUGGAGGUAAAAUGAUUACUGUUUGCUUAUAUGUUGAUGAUCUUAUUUCUAUUGGGAGUGAUGUUGCCAUGUUUUACAAAUUCAAGAAGUUUGUGAUGAUUGAAUUUGAUAUGACUGAUCUUGGUAUGCUUAAUUAUUUUUUGGGCAUUGAAAUGGUGCAAUCUGCUGCUAAAAUUUUUAUUUCUCAAAAUAAAUAUGUGUAAGAAAUUUUAGACAGGUUUCAAAUAAAGAAUUGCAACUCCGUUUGCACACCUACUGAAGUGGGCAUGAAGCUUAUUCGAGAUCCUGAAAGGAGGAAGGUUGAUAGCACCAUCUACAAGCAAAUGGUGGGAAGCUUGAUGUAUUAAACUGCAACAAGACUAGACAUUAUGCAUGUUGUAAGUCUCAUUAGUAGGUUCAUGGAGUGCCCAAAGGAAAUUCAUCUUUUAAUUGCAAAAAAAAUACUUCAGUAUUUGAAAGGUACUACUAGUUAUGGUCUGUUCUACAAAAAGGGUGAAAAAUCAGAUUUGUAUGGCUUUACAGACAAUGAUUAUGCUGGUGAUCGAGAUGAUAGAAAGAGUACUUCAAGUUAUGCAUAGAAAGAGUACUUCAAGUUAUGCAUUUAUGCUGGGCUCAGGGGCUAUUUCUUGGUCUUUAAAAAAACAACAAAUUGUCACUUUAUCUACAACUGAAGCCGAGUUUGUGUCCGCAACAGCUUGUGCUUGUCAAGCUAUUUGGUUGAGGAAAAUACUUGACGAACUACACUUAUUGCAACAAGGAGCAACAACAAUUUUCUGUGACAAUAAUUCAGCAAUCGAACUUUCCAAGAAUUUGGUGUUACAUGGACGAAGCAAGCAUAUAGAUGUGAAGUACCAUUAUUUGAGGGAUCUUACAAAUAAUGGCGUCAUUGAUUUGAUUUGUUGUAGGAGUGAAGACCAAAGUGCUGAUAUUUUCACUAAAUCUUUAAAGAGAGCUGCAUUUCAGAAGUUAAGAAGGUUGCUUGGUGUCUGCACUUUGGAAGAUCCAUCAGUUUGAAGCUAUAAUCUUUUAAACCAAAUAUUUGCGAGUUUUUGGUUUAAGGGAGAGUUUGUUAAAGCUAUACGUGUGUGUGUGGAGUUUGAUUGAGUCAAGUAGUUGGUUAAAAAGAUCAUGUAUUGUGCAAAUAAUCUGUUAAUAAUUUAUCAAUAUUUUACUGUUAUUGCUCCUCUAAUUUCGAAAUUUUGUUGUAGUAGGAUUCCUAUUUCCUAGCUAUUAGUUGUUGGAAUUUUGCCUAUUUAAAGGCAUUGAUUAGUGGUUAAUAAAAAGUAGAAAUUAGUUCAAUUCUCAUCUGUCACUAUCGCUAAUCAUUUUCUUUAUAGAAUAAAAACUUAGCAGCAACUUUUAUUUUUCAACAGAAUUUAUUGUAUUUGAAAAAAGGGAUUAAUCAAGUUACAGAUGAUGUCUGGCUUCUACUUGCGGACCAUACAUACGGAUACAGUAUAUAUAUUUGCAAAUAAUAGCUUAAUGGAACAUAUGGUUGUCAGGCAGUGGAGGGGAUAAAUAUAUAUAUAGAAAAGAGGGUUUCUUUGUUUAUAGAGAAAUUCCAUGAUAUUCAAAAUAUAGAGAGUUAAAAGGCGGUUAUUUUACUAAAUUGACAAAAAAAUUAAAUAUUUAUAAGAAUAAUUUAGAUUCAAAAAUAUUAACGAAAAUAACCUAGAAAGAACAAUGUACAGUGCUGUCGGCAACUCUAUGACUGGCACCCAUGUCAGAAAUGAUUAAAAAAUAUAUUUUUGGUGCCGGUAAUACAGUAGUCGACAUCCAUGUAUAUUUUUUUUACCCGUAUUUUGUACAAUACAUUUUAUACUUAAUUUUAAAAAUUAAUAAUUUUUUUGAGUGCCAUAUAGUGGGUGGCCAGCACCCAUUUUCAAACCUUUUUAAUUUUUUGGUGCCAGUACUGAGGUAGCCAACACCCAUUUUCAAUGACAAAUAUUAUUUUUCUUGAUCUCGUGAACCCAUCGGUCAGCAUCAGUACAUAUUGGAAUUUCGUGAUCAAAAAACAAAAAGAAAAAAAUAUGUAAACUCAUCUUUUGCAAAUGAUUCUCUUCGCUAUUUCUUCCCAAACCCCUCCUUUUCAUCAUCUCUUGUUUCAGAAAACUAAAAAGAAAAAAAAAGACUUAUGAUAUAAUUUAUCUGUUUCAGAAAAUGAAAAGCCAAAAACAUUUUAGAAAAUGAAAAAAAAUUGAGAAGAAUGGAGGAAGAGAAAAAAAAAAUUUGAGAUAUGGAAAAUGAAAAUGAAUGGAACAGUUGGGUUUUCAAUGAGGGAUACAACUCAUUUCUUUUUGUUUUAGUUUUAUUUAUUUAUUUAUUUACUUGUUUGUUGGUUUUCAAUGUUCUGUUGGCUUUUCAUUUUCAGAAACAGUUAAACUAUCGAAAGUUUUUUUUUUUUAAAUUUUUUGAAACAGGAGAUGAUGAAAAGGAAUGAAAGAGUUUGGGAAGAAAUAGUGAGAGAGAACUAGUUGCAAUAGAUGAGUUUGCAUAUUUUUUUCUUUUGGUUUUUUUAUCAUGGAAUAUCCAUAUGUAUUGUUGUUGGCCACCUGCUACAAGACACCAAAAAAAUUGUUUUUUUAAAGCCAUGUGUAAAAUGUAUUGUACAAAAUAUAAGCAAAAAAUACACAUGGGUGCCAGUCAUUACAUUACCGACACCAAAAAAAAAAACUUAAUCCUUUCUGACAUGAGUGCCAGCCAUGGGGUUGUCGGCACCAUCGUGCAUUGUUCCUUCCAGGUUAUUUUUAUUAAUGUUUUUGAAUCUGGGUUAUUCUUAUAAAUAUUUAAUCUUUUUAGGUCAUUUUAGUAAAAUAGUGUAACACCUCUUACCCGAGACCGUUGCCGGAAUCGAGUACGAGGCAUUACUUAGCUUAUCUUACUAAUUCGGGGCAUAAAAAUUCGUUUUAAAAAUUAAUUUCACUGUUUACAGUAAUCUGUCCAAUCACGCAGCAGUUACUAAAUUGAUUAUAACUCGAGCUACGGAACUCCAAAUUUAAUUUCGUAAUUUUUUCCUGAAACUAGACUCAUAUAUCUUUCUACCAUAAAAUUUUCAGAAUUCUUGGUUUGACCAAUUAAUACAGUUUAUUAGUUAAAUUCUCCCCUGUUUCUUCACUCGACUGUCCUGACCCCUUGGUACUAAAAAUAAAUUUUCUCAUUAUAGGAUUUUCAUAUGAUAUUACCACUUUUCAAUCAAUACACAAUUCACAUAUUCACAUAUCUCAAUUUAAUAUCUCAUUUAUUCAAUUCAUAUUUUAAUUCAUUCAAUUAAAUAUUGAUAUUCUCCUUAUUUUUAUUUACUAACAUAUUAUUCAAAAUUCAAUAAUUACUGUCAAUAAAUUCAAUAUCAAUACGUAUAUAUAUUAUUCAAUUCAAUUAUGAAACUCACCUCAAUUUGCUUAUCGUGUAUAUUAAUUUAAUUUUCAACGAUUAAUAAUUAAAUUCGAAUUAUAGUAAUACUAACCGCAAUUUCUCUCGAGUCACUCCUUGUCCACUUUCUCCUUUCCUUUCUCGGACAAUGACUCGUACACGACAUUAGCUACGUAAUUAAACAAUUAAAAAUCAUUAAUACACAAUUUUAUUAAAAUAUUUCCUUUUAUACCUAAACUUUACCCAAAUUCUAAUUUAAUCCCUUACCAAUACUAAUUUUAUUUUUCCCAAUCUAACUCUACAUUCUCUCUUAAUUCUUACUAUAAAGUCAAUUUAAUUCCUCAAUUUCACCAUAAAUCCCUAAUUUCGGGAUUCUUUCAAUUUAAUCCCUAUCGAUUCAAAACUUAUAUUUUAUUUUACAAUCACAUUCUUUACUAACUUCUAACUUGAAAUUAAAUCAAUUUAACCCCUAACUAAACCUAUAUAUUUUUCUUUCUCAAUUCAUACCCUUAUUCUACCCAAUUUCUUACUAAACUCAUAUUUAACUAUUUAAUUUUUAUCAUGUUUUCAUAAUUCCGAAUUUAUUUCAAAUUAAUCCCUAAAAUUCAAAACUUAUAGUUUAGUUUACAAUUCAAUCCUUUAUUCAAUUCCAAUCAAAAUUUCUAUCAAAUACAUCCCUAAUUUAACAAUUUAUUCAACAUGAACCAUGCUUAAUAAUCUACUAACUUCCAAAAUUUCAACUUAAAUCAAGUAGUAUUUUGUUCUAGGAUUUCAAAAAAAAUAUCAAAAUUAAGAGAAAAGGGGAUUAAAUUGACUUACCAAAUUACUUUGAACCUUAAAACCCCAAAUUUCUCUUUUUCUUUUCUUUUUUUUCUUUCUUUCCUUCCUUCCUUCUCUGUUUCGUUUUGCUCUCUGUUUCUUUCUUUCUCCCUUCUCUGUUUUGUUUUGCUCUCUGUUUCUU
Molecule: long non-coding RNA, 22815 nt
Filed under: Gossypium barbadense (sea-island cotton)
Lineage: Eukaryota; Viridiplantae; Streptophyta; Magnoliopsida; Malvales; Malvaceae
Description: long non-coding RNA (GBAR_LNC022864)
Source: RNAcentral